GACGAACGCUGGCGGCGUGCUUAACACAUGCAAGUCGAACGGAAAGGCCCUGCUUUUGUGGGGUGCUCGAGUGGCGAACGGGUGAGUAACACGUGAGUAACCUGCCCUUGACUUUGGGAUAACUUCAGGAAACUGGGGCUAAUACCGGAUAGGAGCUCCUGCUGCAUGGUGGGGGUUGGAAAGUUUCGGCGGUUGGGGAUGGACUCGCGGCUUAUCAGCUUGUUGGUGGGGUAGUGGCUUACCAAGGCUUUGACGGGUAGCCGGCCUGAGAGGGUGACCGGCGACAUUGGGACUGAGAGACGGCCCAGACUCCUACGGGAGGCAGCAGUGGGGAAUAUGGCACAAUGGGCGGAAGCCUGAUGCAGCAGCGCCGCGUGCGGGAUGACGGCCUUCGGGUUGUAAACCGCUUUCGCCUGUGACGAAGCGUGAGUGACGGUAAUGGGUAAAGAAGCACCGGCUAACUACGUG
RNAcentral lists this ribosomal RNA (468 nucleotides) under uncultured bacterium. Its description in RNAcentral is "partial 16S ribosomal RNA". It matches the Rfam family "Bacterial small subunit ribosomal RNA", at positions 28 to 507 of the family's 1533-position model. The record is from RNAcentral.